GCGUGGGUGAAGAAGGCCCUAGGGUUGUAAAUCCCUUUCAGCUGGGAAGAUAAUGACGGUACCAGCAGAAGAAGCCCCGGCUAACUCCGUGCCAGCAGCCGCGGUAAUACGGAGGGGGCUAGCGUUGUUCAGAAUUACUGGGCGUAAAGCGCACGUAGGCGGACUGUUUAGUCAGAGGUGAAAUCCCAAGGCUCAACCUUGGAAUUGCCUUUGAUACUGACAGUCUUGAGUUCGAGAGAGGUGAGUGGAAUUCCGAGUGUAGAGGUGAAAUUCGU
Molecule: ribosomal RNA, 275 nt
Filed under: uncultured bacterium
Lineage: Bacteria
Description: partial 16S ribosomal RNA
Rfam family: Bacterial small subunit ribosomal RNA
Source: RNAcentral